Molecule: long non-coding RNA, 392 nt
Filed under: Sorghum bicolor (sorghum)
Lineage: Eukaryota; Viridiplantae; Streptophyta; Magnoliopsida; Poales; Poaceae
Description: long non-coding RNA (SBIC_LNC008995)
Source: RNAcentral
UUAUCUUUUUCUGGAAUUAUUUUUAAACUAAAAAUGAUUUUUAUAAAUCCCGAAAUUAAUAAUUUUCGAAACUUUUCUAAACCCUAGACCUAUAUAUAUGCCGGCGUAGCCCUCGACGCGCUGAUUCCAGAAGUAUAACCCUUUUUUCGAGCCGCCGUUUGUACCGCCGCAGAUCCAUCGCCGAAGUUUUGGAUCUCGUUUUCGGGGAACUUUUGCGGCGAACCUUCGGCGAGAGUUUCCGGCCGCCUCAGUCGUCCCCUGUGAAAACCGUCACCAUCCCGAGGUUCGUAUCGAUCUCCUCUACACCGACAGACCAUUAGUUUCGUGAAUACGUCACCUGUUGACCGCUUUCCUUGUCUUCUCUUUCGUCUCCGGCGAACUCCACCAUUUGC